GAUGAAGAACGCAGCGAAAUGCGAUACUUGGUGUGAAUUGCAGAAUCCCGUGAACCAUCGAGUCUUUGAACGCAAGUUGCGCCCGAAGCCACUAGGCCGAGGGCACGCCUGCCUGGGCGUCACACGCCGUUGCCCCCCCAUCUACUCCUUCGGGAUUGCGGGGGGGCGGAUGAUGGCCUCCCGUGCGCCUAGCCGCGCGGUUGGCAUAAAUACCAAGUCCUCGGCGACGCACGCCACGACAAUCGGUGGUUGCGAAACCUCGGUUGCCCGUCGUGUGCGUUCGUCGCGCNNNNNNNGCUCGAAAAAAUGCUCGGCUCCGGCUGGGCUUUCAACGCGACCCCAGGUCAGGCGGGGUUACCCGCUGAAUUUAAGCAUAUCAAUAAGCGGAGGA
RNAcentral lists this unclassified non-coding RNA (391 nucleotides) under soil metagenome. RNAcentral's name for it is "partial contains 5.8S ribosomal RNA, internal transcribed spacer 2, and large subunit ribosomal RNA". The stretch from base 1 to 122 matches the Rfam family "5.8S ribosomal RNA", at positions 35 to 154 of the family's 154-position model. The record is from RNAcentral.